Molecule: long non-coding RNA, 1042 nt
Filed under: Triticum aestivum (bread wheat)
Lineage: Eukaryota; Viridiplantae; Streptophyta; Magnoliopsida; Poales; Poaceae
Description: long non-coding RNA (TAES_LNC025751)
Source: RNAcentral
CUCCGCUGAGCUUUCCUUCAACCCCGCUCAACUCCCGUCCUUCCUUCCCUCCCUACAAAUCUGGUCUGCUGGCCGCUGUUCGCCGCGGCCGCCGGGUCUCUCGCGCUCGCGCAACUGCCUCAAAACCCUAGCCACCCCUCGCGACCCAGUCGAUUGGAUCGCCCGCUUCCUCCUCAUCCUCCACCCACACCCAAGGUGCGUCGGCUGCCGUAUUCUCCUCGCCCUCCCUACCUGCUUCCAUAUGUAUAUCUAUGUAUGUCGUUUGCCUUCACCGUCGUUGCCGGGAUGCCCGUGCUCGCGUCUGUUAUCGUCGCCGAUGCGCGCCGGGAUUUCCUGCCCGCUUUCCGCCCUUGGUUUUGCGCCGAUUCGUGCCAGAUUCACGGCUCUCUGAAACCUGUUUUUUUUCUUCUAGAUAUCUCCAUCUCUGACUGCGUGCGUGUUUCUUCUUUUCAUGGUUCUUGUGAUUGUGUGAUGUGCAGACAAAGUCAUGGCAGGCCUGUUUGUUGGUUUUCCUCUGAGAUGAGAAAUCUUUGGCGGCUUUCAUUUAUGCGCGCUUUCCUUUCCUUUCCUUUCCUUUAGCAUGCAGCCUUUUGCGCCCCCUUUUUUGGUGCUUUCUGUUCGGGGUGAGCAAUCUGGUGAUACAAACGGCCGCCGCCGGAAUUUGUUUCUUUACUCCUUUUUAUCAUACCAGGUCGUUGCAGAUUAUGGCUCCCGAUUUCUAGUUUUUCGUGGGCCAUUCCUCAGAUUUGUCUUCUCUGUUUCGGUUGCCCUUGUUAAUUCGAUGACGGACACGGAAGAUCAUUUCAGUGGAUCUUUGUAUCACCUGUCACUGUUCCUGCUUCGUUAAAUUAUGGCUGGGUUGAUGUACAGAACUUUAGAUUCUUGCGAAUGCUAAUUACAGAAUUAGAGUUUUUUUUUGCGGGGAAGAAAACUACAGAAUUAGAGUUAUAAUAAUGAAUGUCUUAUCGCUUAGCAAAGUGAUCGAUUGCUCUGUUUUCUCCCUUCAGGGGUAUUAUACAUUUCCAUUUCUCAACUUUUCGGG